GCGCUUAGAAGUGAGAAUGCCGGUGUGAGUAGCGAAAGACGGGUGAGAAUCCCGUCCACCGAUUGACUAAGGUUUCCAGAGGAAGGCUCGUCCGCUCUGGGUUAGUCGGGUCCUAAGCUGAGGCCGACAGGCGUAGGCGAUGGAUAACAGGUUGAUAUUCCUGUACCACCUAUAAUCGUUUUAAUCGAUGGGGGGACGCAGUAGAAUAGGCGAAGCGUGCGAUUGGAUUGCACGUCUAAGCAGUAAGGCUGAGUAUUAGGCAAAUCCGGUACUCGUUAAGGCUGAGCUGUGAUGGGGAGAAGACAUUGUGUCUUCGAGUCGUUGAUUUCACACUGCCGAGAAAAGCCUCUAGAUAGAAAAUAGGUGCCCGUACCGCAAACCGACACAGGUAGUCAAGAUGAGAAUUCUAAGGUGAGCGAGCGAACUCUCGUUAAGGAACUCGGCAAAAUGACCCCGUAACUUCGGGAGAAGGGGUGCUCUUUAGGGUUAACGCCCAGAAGAGCCGCAGUGAAUAGGCCCAAGCGACUGUUUAUCAAAAACACAGGUCUCUGCUAAACCGUAAGGUGAUGUAUAGGGGCUGACGCCUGCCCGGUGCUGGAAGGUUAAGAGGAG
Molecule: ribosomal RNA, 612 nt
Filed under: Staphylococcus aureus
Lineage: Bacteria; Bacillati; Bacillota; Bacilli; Caryophanales; Staphylococcaceae
Description: partial 23S ribosomal RNA
Rfam family: Bacterial large subunit ribosomal RNA
Source: RNAcentral